GAUGAACGCUGGCGGCGUGCUUAACACAUGCAAGUCGAACGAAGCACUUUAUUUGAUUUCCUUCGGGACUGAUUAUUUUGUGACUGAGUGGCGGACGGGUGAGUAACGCGUGGGUGACCUGCCUUGUACAGGGGGAUAACAGUUGGAAACGGCUGCUAAUACCGCAUAAGCGCACAGCAUCGCAUGAUGCAGUGUGAAAAACUCCGGUGGUAUAAGAUGGACCCGCGUUGGAUUAGCUAGUUGGUGAGGUAACGGCCCACCAAGGCGACGAUCCAUAGCCGACCUGAGAGGGUGACCGGCCACAUUGGGACUGAGACACGGCCCAAACUCCUACGGGAGGCAGCAGUGGGGAAUAUUGCACAAUGGGCGAAAGCCUGAUGCAGCGACGCCGCGUGAGCGAAGAAGUAUUUCGGUAUGUAAAGCUCUAUCAGCAGGGAAGAUAAUGACGGUACCUGACUAAGAAGCACCGGCUAAAUACGUG
This 481-nucleotide ribosomal RNA is filed under the name uncultured bacterium. RNAcentral's name for it is "partial 16S ribosomal RNA". It matches the Rfam family "Bacterial small subunit ribosomal RNA", at positions 28 to 507 of the family's 1533-position model. The record is from RNAcentral.